GGGUGUUUGGUCUAGUGGUAUGAUUCUUGCUUUGGGUGCAAGAGGUCGUUAGUUCGCUUUUUGCAACACCCU
RNAcentral lists this transfer RNA (72 nucleotides) under Ipomoea nil (Japanese morning glory). It matches the Rfam family "tRNA". Rfam says of the family: Transfer RNA (tRNA) molecules are approximately 80 nucleotides in length. Their secondary structure includes four short double-helical elements and three loops (D, anti-codon, and T loops). Lineage: Eukaryota; Viridiplantae; Streptophyta; Magnoliopsida; Solanales; Convolvulaceae. The record is from Rfam by way of RNAcentral.